CACGUAGGGGGCGAGCGUUGUUCGGAAUUACUGGGCGUAAAGGGCAUGUAGGCGGUCUUGUAAGCUUGGCGUGAAAGACCACGGCUCAACCGUGGGAUUGCGUUGAGAACUGCGAGGCUUGAGUGACGGAGAGGGAGCUAGAAUUCCUGGUGUAGGGGUGGAAUCUGUAGAGAUCAGGAAGAAUACCAAUGGCGAAGGCAAGCUCCUGGCCGAUGACUGACGCUGAGGUGCGAAAGUGUGGGGAUCAAACAGGAUUAGAUACCCUGGUAGUCCACACUGUAAACGAUGUGCACUAGGUGCUGGUACGGAUGUAUCAGUGCCGUAGCUAACGCAUUAAGCACCCCGCCUGGGGAGUACGUACGCAAGUAUGAA
Molecule: ribosomal RNA, 372 nt
Filed under: uncultured bacterium
Lineage: Bacteria
Description: bacterial SSU rRNA
Rfam family: Bacterial small subunit ribosomal RNA
Source: RNAcentral